UCUGGAUUAAUGCAACUUGAUGGGAAUCUGAGGAAUUCACAGCACUGUGUGCGACGGAAGGUUUGAGCCAUUUGACAGAUCUCAAUUUCCAAGCAGUGCUAGUCCGACUCUGGCUGUAACAAUAGGAUGUAAACUAGGAAAUAAUGUCGACAAUCAAUAGGAAACACUCUGGAUAACUUUUCCCACUGGUGAACAGAUGACUUUUGACUUCACAUCUUUUUAAACUGUUUAGCCAGUAAAACAACAUUCAGCUCCAUUCACACGAAGUACUGGUCCCAGCAAAACACCAGAUGGUGUGUUUACUGCAGCUGUGUCAAGUGACUGUGGGAUUCAACUGGUUGGAUCAUAUCGAUGUGUAGGAGCCGUGAGAGGAAGCUGUUUCAUGUGUGCAUACGUCAAGCACUCAGGCUUCUAUGCGAGAAGGAAUCGUGUUAUGACCGUGAAGGAAAAUCCGAAUUGCAUCCAGAAACAUUGGACUUUAAAAAGAAGACCUGAGUU
Long non-coding RNA from Carcharodon carcharias (great white shark), 498 nucleotides. RefSeq lists it as uncharacterized. The transcript has 3 exons. NCBI's taxonomy places the organism in Eukaryota, Metazoa, Chordata, Chondrichthyes, Lamniformes, Lamnidae. The record is from RefSeq and is a predicted model, not a curated record.